CACGGCGGCACUCCGGAGAUGCGCCCUUUGUCACCCGGCCCCGAUGGCCACGCCGGGCCCCGCCGCCGGACCCCGCGCAGGGUGUGCGAAAAUAGAAUGAAGAAGCGAAAUGUGAAAGCUAUUGGAAUUCACCAGUGUCCCUCCCUAACUCAAGGAGUCAAAUCGCAUUGACCUCUUUCUACUGCCGCACGAGAUGGACAACACGACUGCUUUCGACACCGAAAUUUCAUUCUGAAAGACCCCUCGCACACAGAAAGCAGCACGCAGUGACUGGGCUCUCAAGCACGUGCUGCAGAUUAUUUCAAAGGAUACUGGGUAUAGCUAACAGUUUUAAUGAGAAUCAAACAUGCUCGGUUCAACUAGGCACUCCUACAGAAUGGAGGGAGUUUUCACUUUCCCUUGGAUUAAACUCGCCGUGUUAAAACAAAAUUGCUAACAAGAGCUAGUCAAGCCUAACAAGAUAAAAAUCCCCCCCACAAAAAAUCCUGCAAGAAAUUUUAGAGCCCCUGUAUCACUCACUGUUUUUGCAUUGAAAUGACCUUCCAAAUAAGGUGUUAAAUAAUACGGUUCACAUAGAUGAUAGUGAUCUAACCUUGAUGCAAAUAAACCAUAGAACAAAAUUUAAUCAGUAUAUCACUGUGUAAAAGCCUUUGUCCAUCCCAAUGGAGCUUCUAAUGACUGUUUUGGCAGUUCUGGCUGGUAGUUAUGCCUCCCUGCUCAUAUAUAUCUCAUACUGGUUGAGCAAGCUAAUGGAACUGCUGUUAGUGGAAUCCAAUAUUAAUACCCUGCAUCAUGCAAAACUGGAUGCAACUGAAUAUAUUACACAAUUACAGGUAGUGUCUAAUUCCAUAGGUAUUAGAUGCUGGAGUCAAUUAAUAUUUUAAUAGAGAAAGUGAAAUAAAUACUACAUUUCAGGUAAGAUGUAUACAGAGUCUGGG
Molecule: long non-coding RNA, 938 nt
Organism: Centrocercus urophasianus (Greater sage-grouse)
Lineage: Eukaryota; Metazoa; Chordata; Aves; Galliformes; Phasianidae
Exons: 3
Source: RefSeq, a predicted model, not a curated record